ACGAACGCUGGCGGCAUGCCUAACACAUGCAAGUCGAACGAGACCUUCGGGUCUAGUGGCGCCCGGGUGCGUAACGCGUGGGAACCUGCCCUUAGGUUCGGAAUAACUCCCCGAAAGGGGUGCUAAUACCGGAUAAUGUCUUCGGACCAAAGAUUUAUCGCCUUUGGAUGGGCCCGCGUUGGAUUAGCUAGUUGGUAGGGUAAAAGCCUACCAAGGCGACGAUCCAUAGCUGGUCUGAGAGGAUGAUCAGCCACACUGGGACUGAGACACGGCCCAGACUCCUACGGGAGGCAGCAGUGGGGAAUAUUGGACAAUGGGCGAAAGCCUGAUCCAGCAAUGCCGCGUGAGUGAUGAAGGCCUUAGGGUUGUAAAGCUCUUUUACCCGGGAUGAUAAUGACAGUACCGGGAGAAUAAGCUCCGGCUAACUCCGU
Molecule: ribosomal RNA, 431 nt
Filed under: uncultured bacterium
Lineage: Bacteria
Description: partial 16S ribosomal RNA
Rfam family: Bacterial small subunit ribosomal RNA
Source: RNAcentral